This is an RNA transcript of Eriocheir sinensis (Chinese mitten crab), 1509 nucleotides long. It is a transcript of the gene named cadherin-1-like, with no coding region annotated. The transcript has 7 exons. NCBI's taxonomy places the organism in Eukaryota, Metazoa, Arthropoda, Malacostraca, Decapoda, Varunidae. The record is from RefSeq and is a predicted model, not a curated record.
CUCACCCACCACUCUGUUAGUAUUGGCACUCACUCACCACAUGACUGCCAGGCCUGUUCCACUCAUCCACCACUCUGUUAGUAUUGGCACUCACCACAUGACUGCCAGGCCUGUUCCACUCACCCACCAGUCUGUUAGUAUUGGCACUCACUCACCACAUGACUGCCAUGCCUGUUCCACUCAUCCACCACUCUGUUAGUAUUGGCCCUCACUCACCACAUGACUGCCAGGCCUGUUCCACUCACCCACCAGUCUGUUAGUAUUGGCACUCACUCACCACAUGACUGCCAGGCCUGUUCCACUCACCCACCACUCUAUUAGUAUUGGCACUCACUCGCUACAUGACUGCCAGGCCUGUUUCACUCAUCCACCACUCUGUUAGUAUUGGCACUCACUCACCACAUGACUGCCAGGCCUGUUCCACUCAUCCACCACUCUGUUAGUAUUGGCACUCACUCACCACAUGACUGCCAGGCCUGUUCCACUCACCCACCACUCUGUUAGUAUUGGCACUCACUCAGCACUCGACUGCCAGGCCUGUUCCACUCAUCCACCAGUAUGUUAGUAUUGGCACUCACUCACCACAUGACUGCCAGGCCUGUUCCACUCAUCCACCACUCUGUUAGUAUAGGCACUCACUCACCACAUGACUGCCAGGCCUGUUCCACUCAUCCACCAGUCUGUUAGUAUUGGCACUCACUCACCACACGACUGCCAGGCCUGUUCCACUCAUCCACCACUCUCCACUGGACCCACCCAUAGGCAAGUGUUCCAGGAGGCAAGAAGGAGUGAGUCUACACCAUGGAACCUUGACAGACCUCCUCCUCCUGCCUUCAAGUUUGGCCAAGAUGUGUGAAGAAGAAGAAGAGGAAGAAGAAGAAGACUCCGCUCACAGGGAAGAUAUUCUGUGUCCCCGCUUGACCUCAUUGGAGUAGAUAAGAUGAAGAAGAGGAGGAGGAGGAGGAGGAGGAGGAACAGGACAUUCAGCAUUCCAAAGAUCCAGCACAGCCUCGGCCCUGAUGAAAGCGCUGUAGUGAAGUCAGCGUUCCGCAUUGAUCCCCAUACUGGGACGCUGACCCUGGCCGCCCCACUGGACCGCGAGACCAUGGCCCAGUACUCCUUCACUGUCACGGACCCCAAGCCUCCGUUCACCAGCACCAGAGUCACUGUACUGGUCCAGGACUACAAUGACAACCCUCCGGUGUUCGCCAAAGACACUUACGUCACUGCUGUGCCUGAGGACACGGUCGCGGGCACGGCGGUUGUGACGCUCAGCGUGAUGGACGCUGAUGAGUCUGUGGCCGAACUGGACUUCUUCAUUACCAGCGGCGACCCUGACAGCUAGUUCCUGGUGCGCGCCUCAGGGGAGGGCAGUGGUUGACUGGCUGGCCACUCUAUCUCAGCAAGGGACUGGAAGCUGGAACUCUCUCUCUCUCUUCUUCCCUUCCCUCUCUAUCUCUUCCCUUCCCUUCCCCUCCCCUCCCCUUCCCUUCCCUUCCCUCCCCUCCC